RNAcentral lists this long non-coding RNA (713 nucleotides) under Homo sapiens (human). Its description in RNAcentral is "HSALNT0311435". The record is from RNAcentral. Lineage: Eukaryota; Metazoa; Chordata; Mammalia; Primates; Hominidae.
CUCAACUUUUCUGAAUCUCCCACUUGGCUGUGUCUCUGUACCUGCUAAAUCAACACAGUUCCUGGCAUACAGGUGCAUUUCAGUGCAUGCUGGUGAGACAGCGAAGGGCUUGAAACAGUCCACAAAAGUUGAUGCAGGAGAGCAGUACAAUCCUUUCUGGAGUGGGACUCAGAGAAAGAUCAUGCAUGUUGAAGUCAUUCCAGCAGCAGUCCAGGGGAGUUGGGGCAGGUAAGAUGGGAUAAGUGCACUCCAACCAUCAUUUCUGUUGGUCAUAACUCCAGGAGAGAAAGUUUAGAACAGCUAUUUGAGGACGGUGAAAAGAAAACAGCAGAAGGAAUAUUGGUGAAGAACACAGAAUUUGAAGUACAUCAAACCAGUAGCCCUGGGCAAACCCACACCUGUAGGGUCAGCAGUCAGUAACGGGACUGACAGGAGCCAAAACUGAGGCAGUGUAAACUUGUUCUUUUUUCAGAAGAACUGUGAUCCCACGGGCUCACUUCCAAGCCAUACAUGUUUGGAUCUGGUUUUAAUGAGGAUACCAAGACCUUUGAGAACUGAAGUAAUAGAGAGGUCAUCACCUGGUUCCUAGACUGGCUUCUGGGUGGUGCACACCUGAAAUGGAGACAAAAAGCAGUUUGAAAACUGAGUGGAUGUUGACAUCACAGCGCACAGAAGAAAUAAUGUCUCGCUAUGUUGCCCAGGCUGGACUUCAA